RNAcentral lists this long non-coding RNA (5212 nucleotides) under Gallus gallus (chicken). Lineage: Eukaryota; Metazoa; Chordata; Aves; Galliformes; Phasianidae. The record is from RNAcentral.
CUGCGGUCCACGGCGCCGGGCCGCAUGGAGGGGCUGAGCAGGCUGCCCCCGCCGCACCUGCCAAGAAGGCGCCCUCUGAGUGGCUGCCGCGACGAGGGGCCGAAGGGCAUCAGCGGCUCGGGCUCCCCGCGGGGCGGGAGCAGCGGGGCCAGCAGGCUGACUGGCUUGCCGGCCGGCCAAUCGGGGCGGCCCGCCAGCCGGGUGCCCUUCGGUGAUUGGUCGGCGGCCGAGGCGACGGGACGGACGGCGUCCCCCGGCGUCAGCUGCAUGAGGGGAGGGGGCUUCGGCAGGGAGAACGGCAGCGGCUGCGGGGAGGCCGUGGCCGCCGCCGCCGCCGAGUCCCCUCCGGACAUCCUGGCCGCCGGGCCCGCCGCCGGGAGCCCUUUCCCGCCUGCCCUGGCGGCCGCCGGCCGGGGACGGCGAGGAGCGGGCGGAUAGAGAGAGAAAGGGAGGCCCCGCGGCGGAGCCGAGUAGAGAAAGCGGCGGCCGGCCGGCGGCGGAGAGCAACGGCGGGAGCGAGCGCGGGGCCGGGCCGCGGAGCUGGCGCGGGGGGAAGCUGCGGCGGGGGCCGAGCGCAGGGAGCGCUGGGAAAGCGCUCACGUGGGCUGCGGGCGGGCGGCACCAAGAGCGCCGCGCAAAUAGGGGUGUGGCGCGGCGCACCUUCCGCCUCUCCCGCCUCGACGGAACGGGAGGACGCGGCCGCCUCCCCUCCGCCUUGCGGCAGGUGGUGCGUGCCGGCACUCAGGCCCGGCCUCGCCACGGCCCCCCCGCGCGGCGCCGGCUUGGUAUGCGCCGGGCUGCGGCAGCGCGGCAAGGCGGGCGCGGCCCCCGGCAUCGCCGCGCCGUGGUAGGCGCCUCCGGGGGCGGGCUGUGGCCCGGCUCGGGGAGCGGAGCCUGCCGGUACUCGUGCGGCCCUGCGGGGCUGUCCGUCUCCGGGUCGCUCCUUUGCAGCUCUUCCCGCUUCGGCUUUUCCUUCGUGUUCGCGCAGCGCUCUGUUGGCGGGGCUGACGGACAAAGGGCGGUGUGGGAGCGGGGUUGUCGGGCUGAGCCUGGCGGGGCAGCUGCCUGAUGUGCGCCCGUCUGACUCCUGUGCCGGGGAGAGCUGUGGAGAAAGGCGAGGCUUUGUGCUUUGGAGCCCCGUCCUGCGGCCUCGCUGGGCUGUGAGGGGCCCGUCCUGUGCUGGGGAGGGCGUGGGAGAGCACAGGGAGACCAGCGGCAGGGAGAGCUGCAGGUUGGCAUAACGGCCCUGCGGGUUUAACUGAAACGAGGGGUGAAACGCCACUCUUAGUUCUUCAGUGAAGUGCUACAGCACAUAACGUUGGAUUUCUUUCAUAUAGCUUGUUAUAAGAACAUACGUUGUAUAAUCAAUGAGUAUAUAGACGUAAAAUCAGUGACAAUACAGAGAAGAAUACUGGGCUUACCAAAAAAAAGACUCCACGAGGAGCCAUCUCCAGGGAGAGACCCCUCCCCAGCGGCAGUCAGCCCUGGAAUGGGCUCUAGCAGAGGUGCAGCCUGGCUGCAGCCCUUCCACUCACACAGCUCAACUGCCUUCACCUGUGCUCCCACGGCUGACUCAGCGCUCGCCUCAGGUGGUCAAUCAGAGGUUCAGGCCGUGAUUCAACAGUUCCUGUACAUACAUCCACUGAAAAACGUGGAGUUUAUGCAGAUAAAAGCCACAUGCGUUGUGGUAACUGCCUUUUUACUUGUGUAUCUACAGGGAGCAGCACGCCAGCACUGUUUCCUAGAACCUGUCGCUUACUGUGCAGGUGAGCUCAGUGUAACUGCGUCUGUAGUUUCUCAUAAUCGGUUGUGACUGUGGCCCUUUAGAUGUGCUCUCCAAAAGAAGCACUGCUAGAAGUGUGAUGGCUUCCAAAUGUGGAAGCAUUUCUGCAGGUGUCCUGCUCUUGUCUUUUAACAAGUCUGUUCAACAGUAGGCCUAAGUUCCCUUCUGCUACCAAAAUCCAGGAAUGAAACUUGACGACGUGAAUGACAGAUUAGGAAGCAGAUAUUACUUUAUUGCAGUGCUUGGUGCGUGAGGGAUUGCUCCUCACCAUCUGAAAGCACACAGAUUUUGUAUGCUUUAAUACACAAAUAUUCAUAGGGUUUCCUCAGAGUGCCCACCUAGUCCCAGAAUUGCUAUACAUAUUAAAAUCUGGUACUAUGCAUAAACCCAUGUUAGUGUGGUUUUUUUGCAAGGGGGCCUGUGGUGGUUGUGAGGUUCCACUGGGAGGUGCUAUCCAGGUGAAGGGUUGUCUGUUAUGUAGGCCAGGUCCUGUACUUGGUCAAGAACCUAUUUACAAAACCAUGACCGUUGACUUAGUUUCUAAUGAGCACAUCAAUCUUGUUACAGUGCUUGUAUCAUCAGCCCUACAGUGUACCUCCUCAAGGCUGGUGAAAUGCUGAGGCUCUACUUUUAGGCUCCAGAAGUCCUGCUUAUCUAGGACAGAGUCUUCUCUAGACAAAAUACCAGUCGGCUGAAGAGUUUGAACUCAUUGCUAAAGGCUCUGAACUUAUUGCCAGGCAGCACAGUGCUUGGGAAAAGCUUUACCUGGUGUUCAUCAUGAGUAGGAGUCGUCCCCACCUGUGAAGCCUGGGUUCCUGAUGGAGAAGUUGCUGAUCCUCCUCACCUGUGUCAUCUGAGUGGUUUAGAGGAAUCAUGCCAUCGGACACAGAUCAGUAAUGCUUGUUGCUUGAUCCAACUGCUGUAUAGCUGAUGAAUUCAUGGAUUUAAGACAAAUAAUCCGUAUUUCAUUACUAGCAAGUGCUAGAAAUAAAAAUGUACUCUGCACUAUUGCUUGGAAAAACAAAUCCUGAAGUCGUAAGAGAGGAUUAAAGUUGGAAAAAAAUCUCUCAAGAGAAAAACGAAGGGAGUAAUGACAUCUGCUUAGCAGCAUCCAGCCCCUCAGCCUGCAGCACGGACCUCUGGAGCCCUUACACACGGAAUAAAAGGGGAUGCAGUGAGUGAGGAGCAGCAGAACUGCAAGCAGAGCAGCGCUACUGGUGUAAGAUGGCAUUAGGAAGAGUGGAGUUUUGUUAAUGGGUCAUGGAAAGUAGGUUCUACCUCUCAUAAUGCAAACUGUCUUAUUUUUGUUUCAUUUCCUUCCCAGGGUGGUGUUCUACCAUGGCAGUAAACAAAGCCAUCGGUUGCAGACUUCUGCACCAAUUCAGGUGGCUCCAUUGAAGGUGUAAGAUUGGAGGUGUGAGGUUUCUCAGCAGUGGGACGUUACCACCUAGCUGUGAGCUGGCUUUGCUCUGGUGGGCGUCCUGCUGUUCCCCCACAGUGAGCUGUGUUCUGGUUCUGUUGGAAGGCUGCCCGGUCCUUCUGCCGGGUUUAUAUUCCACUUAAACGCGUGGCUAUUCAAGUGACCAACCUUUUGGAGUGUCUCGUUUGGCUUUGCCUUAAACGUUUGCUGCUCCUACCCCUUCCCCCCUUCCUACAGAGGCCUUUUUAUAGGUGGCCUGUAGUGCCAUAUAGUUUUUGCUUAGAGUUGAGCAUUUUCCUAAGCUUAUGGGGUUAACCACGAUUAUGGGAGAGUUCUUGAAGCAUUUUUGAAUGUAAUGCUUUUAUUUAAUGUUUGUAAGCAAGUUCAAAGGUGUCAGAUACAAAUGUCCCAGUAUGGCACAAGGACGAGACGUGGCAUUGGGGAUUGGGCUGUUCUGUUGCUAGUGCACACAAAUGUGGCAAUGAACUUUUUCCCUCGUGCUUUAGAGCAUUAAAACAGCUGUUUUGGAUCAGAGCAAAGUGGGCAGCAGCUGUGGCAGUGAUCUGCCUGUGAUUAGUGGGCUCAGGCACUCGUGGAGUCACAGAUGGGCUUUGUGCUCUUAAGGGCACUGUGCUUUUAGGGCUCCCGCUUUUGCACCAGUGUGCUUCUUAAAGUGCUAAAAGUUUUCCCAGCUGGAAGUCCUCACAGCAUCACACAGCAAAGAGCUCUGGGUAUCAGCAUCCACACAAAGGCACCGCGCAGUCCGCCUGUGUUCCAAUGGGCACAAACAGCACUGAUUGCGUAUUAAAGCCAUUGUCACCAUCACAACCUGGGAGGAGAGCAGAGUGCCAGGACGCUGCAGGACCCCGAAGAUUAUGUCUUAUAAAUAAACAGCUCAAAUUUGUCUGAAGCCUCAGCGUGCGAUGUAUGGAGCGUUGCAUUCUGACCGUGUUACGCCAAGAUUGCUGCUAAUGGCUUUUGGCAGCACAGCCACCAAGUCAGAAAGCUGAGAUGAUUGCAGAUUGUCUGCUUCCAUACACAUCAUACAGCUGCCUGGAAGACGGUGGAGGCAGCGCCUAAUUGAUGUUUGUUCUUGUCAAUGCGUGAUCGGGUUUUGAUGCAAGGUUCUCCUCUUUUGUGCUCUUCUGGUCAAAUUUUCGUUUAAAUUUGUAUUCUGUGCUGAACAGUAGUGCCAGCAGAACCAUAAGCGAGGAGUUUAAAUUUAGGAUGUGUUGCAGAAAUCCAAAAAUGCUUUACUGUUUGGGUAAAAACGUUUUUGUGUUUUUUUUUCCCCUUCAGCUGCUGCUCUGCAUGCCGUAAAACAGCAAUCCGAAGGGUUUGCUCUGAAAGCAUCUCUUUGUGCCCUGGGCCAGUGACCCCACUGCUGUGCCAGUAAAUCAUGGCAAGCUGGAGGAAUCUCCCUGAUUUCUGAGCUCCUAAUCCCGCAAAGCCUGUAAAUGAUGGCUGGCUUAGCUUUGUUUCUGAUAAAACGAGGCUUAUGAGAUGAUGACAUUUGCUGCCUGUUUCUCCUCCGCUCCGUUCCGUGUCACCACCCAAGAGAUCUCUGGAGCCCAUCAGUGCAAGGCUGUGUGCCUAGUGCUACAACACUACCGCGUGCUGGAGAGCAGGGAGGAGCCUGGGUGAAUGUAUGGGAAUGAAUUUGGCUGUGUUAGCACUCCGAUCCCCUUCUGCAUGAUGUGCUUCCCCUGUUCUGCAGUGUCUGAUGCAGGUAUUGGGUCAGCCCAGUGAUGUUUGCUUCCUGGAGAGCACGCAUGGAACCUGCUGAUGGAGUUUGUUAACAGCCCCGCUGUUCCUUAAGCCAAGCUGGGUUUUUGCUUUGAUAAAACCUCUGGGCAUGGUGUGUGGCUGUACAGAGUGUGAGAACUCAGGGAGGUUCUUUACUCUGAGAGUGGCGAGGUGCUGAACAGCUGCCCAGAGAGGCUGUGGAUGCCCCGUCCAUCCCUGGAGGUGUUCAAGGCCAGGUUGGAUGGGCCCUGGGCAGCCUGGGC